RNAcentral lists this ribosomal RNA (252 nucleotides) under uncultured bacterium. RNAcentral describes it as "partial 16S ribosomal RNA". It matches the Rfam family "Bacterial small subunit ribosomal RNA", at positions 524 to 776 of the family's 1533-position model. The record is from RNAcentral.
UACGGAAGGGGCGAGCGGUGUUCGGAAUUAUUGGGCGUAAGGGGCGCGCAGGCGGUCUCAUAUGUCUGCUGUGAAAUCACACGGCUCAACCGUGUUUAGCCGCAGAAACUGUGAGACUUGAGGCUGGGAGGGGCUGGUGGAAUUCCCCGUGUAGCGGUGAAAUGCGUAGAGAUGGGGGAGAACACUCGUGGCGAAGGCGGCCAGCUGGACCAGUUCUGACGCUGAGGCGCGAAAGCGUGGGGAGCAAACAGG